CGCAGCCGCGGUAAUUCCAGCUCCAAUAGCGUAUAUUAAAGUUGUUGCAGUUAAAAAGCUCGUAGUUGAAUUUCGGGAUCAAUUAGUCGGUCGUGCCUCUGGUACGUACUGGUUUUAUUGGUUCCUCCCUUCUGACGAAACAUGAUGUCAUUAAUUUGGUGUCGUGGAGAAUCAGGACUGUUACCUUGAAAAAAUUAGAGUGUUUAUAGCAGGCUAACGCUUGAAUACAUUAGCAUGGAAUAAUGAAAUAGGACGUUCGACCCUAUUUUGUUGGUUUCUAGGAUCGACGUAAUGAUUAAUAGGGAUAGUUGGGGGCAUUAGUAUUCAAUUGUCAGAGGUGAAAUUCUUGGAUUUAUUGAAGACUAACUACUGCGAAAGCAUUUGCCAAGGAUGUUUUCAUUAAUCAAGAACGAAAGUUAGGGGAUCGAAGACGAUCAGAUACCGUCGUAG
This 450-nucleotide ribosomal RNA is filed under the name uncultured Glomeromycotina. RNAcentral describes it as "SSU rRNA". It matches the Rfam family "Eukaryotic small subunit ribosomal RNA", at positions 569 to 1023 of the family's 1831-position model. Lineage: Eukaryota; Fungi; Glomeromycota. The record is from RNAcentral.